This 218-nucleotide ribosomal RNA is filed under the name Campeiostachys nutans. RNAcentral describes it as "Elymus nutans partial small subunit ribosomal RNA". The stretch from base 47 to 218 matches the Rfam family "Eukaryotic small subunit ribosomal RNA", at positions 692 to 864 of the family's 1831-position model. The record is from RNAcentral. Lineage: Eukaryota; Viridiplantae; Streptophyta; Magnoliopsida; Poales; Poaceae.
GGGUUAGUAGGUUGGUCGGGCUUCACUGUCCGCACUGGCCUGGUGGAUUCCUACCUUCUGAAUAACCAGCAUGCUAUUAAGUUAGUGCGUUGGGGAAGCAGAGCUAUUACCUUGAAAAAAUUAGAGUGCUUAAAGCAGGCUUGUGCUUGAAUAGAUUAGCAUGGAAUAAUAAAAUAGGACGGCAUGGUUCUAUUUUGUUGGUUUCUAGGACCGCCGUA